GUGUCAGCAGCCGCGGUAAUACAUAGGGGGCGAGCGUUAUCCGGAAUUAUUGGGCGUAAAGGGUACGUAGGCGGGUCUGCAAGUCUGAUUUGAAAGCACACGGCUUAACCGUGUGAGGUAAUUAGAAACUACAGAUCUAGAGAGUGGUAGAGGUAAAUGGAAUUCCAAGUGGAGCGGUGAAAUGCGUAGAGAUUUGGAGGAACACCAGUGGCGAAGGCGGCUUACUGGGCCACAUCUGACGCUGAUGUACGAAAGCGUGGGGAGUAAACAGGAUUAGAUACCCUGGUAGUCCACGCCGUAAACGAUGAGUGCUAAGUAUCGGGAGAAUUCGGUGCUCAAGCUAACGCAGUAAGCACUCCGCCUGGGGAGUACGGUCGCAAGAUUAAAACUUAAAGAAAUUGACGG
This 405-nucleotide ribosomal RNA is filed under the name uncultured bacterium. Its description in RNAcentral is "bacterial SSU rRNA". It matches the Rfam family "Bacterial small subunit ribosomal RNA", at positions 505 to 916 of the family's 1533-position model. The record is from RNAcentral.